AUUUAAACAAAAUAAGUAAUAAAAAAUUUUUAAAAAAACUAAUUUAGUUUGGCGGCAUUUCAUCUGAUUAGAGGAAUUUGUCCAUUAAUCGAUAAUCCCCGUUAAAUUUAACUUAAAUCUAAAAUUUAUAUACCGCCAUCUCAAGAAUUAAUUUAAAAAUAUUCCUCCAAAUAAUAUAUAAAAAGUUAGGUCAAGGUGUAGUUAAUAUUUAAGGAUAAGAUGAAUUACAUUAAAUAAUAUUUAAGGAUUUUCAAUCAAAAUUAAACAUAAAAAAGGAUUUAAAAGUAAUUUUAAAAUAAAAUUUCAAUAUGAAUUAGAUAAUAAAUGUGCACAUAUCGCCCGUCACCCUUGUUACAACCCAAGGU
This 365-nucleotide ribosomal RNA is filed under the name Agelena limbata. Its description in RNAcentral is "partial 12S ribosomal RNA". Lineage: Eukaryota; Metazoa; Arthropoda; Arachnida; Araneae; Agelenidae. The record is from RNAcentral.